AAGGAUAAUAUUUAUUAUAGUGGUAAUACGGAUUGUGUUGUAUUAUGUUAUUGAUGUGUUGAAUGUGUAAUUAUUUUAUAAAAAAAAAGAACACAUAUAUACAUUGUGCUGCCCAUAC
Molecule: long non-coding RNA, 118 nt
Organism: Bufo bufo (common toad)
Lineage: Eukaryota; Metazoa; Chordata; Amphibia; Anura; Bufonidae
Exons: 3
Source: RefSeq, a predicted model, not a curated record